UAGAGAGGUAGUCUGAAUAAAGGCAGGUUGUGGGUAGCUAGAGAGGCAGUCUGAAUAAAGGCAGGUUGUGGAGAGGUAGUCUGAAUAAAGGCAGGUUGUGGGUAGCUAGAGAGGUAGUCUGAAUAAAGGCAGGUUGUGGAGAGGUAGUCUGAAUAAAGGCAGGUUAUGGGUAGCUAGAGAGGUAGUCUGAAUAAAGGCAGGUUGUGGGUAGCUAGAGAGGUAGUCUGAAUAAA
Molecule: long non-coding RNA, 233 nt
Organism: Salvelinus fontinalis (brook trout)
Lineage: Eukaryota; Metazoa; Chordata; Actinopteri; Salmoniformes; Salmonidae
Exons: 3
Source: RefSeq, a predicted model, not a curated record